RNAcentral lists this ribosomal RNA (443 nucleotides) under uncultured bacterium. RNAcentral's name for it is "partial 16S ribosomal RNA". It matches the Rfam family "Bacterial small subunit ribosomal RNA", at positions 338 to 795 of the family's 1533-position model. The record is from RNAcentral.
CCUACGGGCGGCAGCAGUGGGGAAUAUUGGGCAAUGGAGGAAACUCUGACCCAGCAACGCCGCGUGAAUGAUGAAGGUCUUCGGAUUGUAAAGUUCUUUUCUCAGGGAAGAAGAAAGUGACGGUACCUUAGGAAUAAGCCUCGGCUAAAUACGUGCCAGCAGCCGCGGUAAUACGUAGGGGGCAAGCGUUAUCCGGAAUGACUGGGGGGAAAGGGUGCGUAGGUGGUUUGAUAAGUAGGUAGCGUAACUCCGGGGCUCAACCUCGGCACUACUACCAAAACUGUCGGACGUGAGUGGAGGAGAGGCAAGUGGAAUGCCUAGUGGAGCGGUGGAAUGCGUAGAUAUUAGGAGGAAAACCAGUGGCGAAGGCGAGUUGCUGGACUGUAACUGACGCUGAGGCACGAAAGCGUGGGGAGCAAACAGGAUUAGAUACCCGUGUAGUC